CUACCAGCGAGGCGCGUGAUCCCCCACCCGUUUCAAAGAGGCCUUCAUGGUCGUCGGACAUCAGCGACUUUGAAAUUGGAAUAAGAUCCCGUCAAAAUCAGUCAAUCUAGCCCCGAAGAGAGGAAGAUUCGAGUCGUCCGAGUCAGCAAUUUCCGACUUGUCCGACGAUCCUGAUUUCCGAUAAGAGCAAUAAAAAUAGGUCUAUGGACUGUUUGUGGGUCACUAGAGCCGUUAGUCACUUCGUCUAUUCCCCUGGAAAUUACGUCAUCCGAUGUGGAUGAGGACGACGACAAGUUAAGCAGACGUGGGCGAGGAUG
Macrobrachium nipponense is the source of this 317-nucleotide long non-coding RNA. RefSeq lists it as uncharacterized. The transcript has 3 exons. The record is from RefSeq and is a predicted model, not a curated record. Lineage: Eukaryota; Metazoa; Arthropoda; Malacostraca; Decapoda; Palaemonidae.